Molecule: ribosomal RNA, 440 nt
Filed under: uncultured bacterium
Lineage: Bacteria
Description: partial 16S ribosomal RNA
Rfam family: Bacterial small subunit ribosomal RNA
Source: RNAcentral
CCUACGGGUGGCAGCAGUGGGGAAUAUUGCACAAUGGGGGAAACCCUGAUGCAGCGACGCCGCGUGAGUGAAGAAGGACUUCGUUAUGUAAAGCUCUAUUAGCAGGGAAGAAAAUGACGGUACCUGAGUAAGAAGCCCCGGCUAACUACGGGCCAGCAGCCGCGGUAAUACGCAGGGGGCAAGCGUUAUCCGGAUUUACUGGGUGUAAAGGGAGCGUAGACGGGAUGGCAAGUCUGGAGUGAAAUGCCGCAGCUUAACUGCGGAACUGCUUUUGAAACUGGCGAACUCGAGUGCGGGAGAGGUAGGCGGAAUUCCUAGUGUAGCGGUGAAAUGCGUAGAUAUUAGGAGGAACACCGGUGGCGAAGGCGGCUUACUGGACCGUAACUGACGUUGAGGCUCGAAAGCGUGGGGAGCAAACAGGAUUAGAUACCCGAGUAGUC